This is a long non-coding RNA of Apis mellifera (honey bee), 1766 nucleotides long. RefSeq lists it as uncharacterized. Lineage: Eukaryota; Metazoa; Arthropoda; Insecta; Hymenoptera; Apidae. The transcript has 3 exons. The record is from RefSeq and is a predicted model, not a curated record.
UUACCUACAAUCGAUAAAACACGUAUUACACAUAACGUAUGAUCGUAAAUCGAAGCACUGUAUACAGUGCCAUCUACAAAUGGUAUACAGAUCGGAACAUCGUAUUUUAUGCGUUUCAACAAAGAAGGAUCUAAAGUUAAGCUACGCCACGCGUGCCAACCGUCAUCAAUCGAAUAUCUAUGAUUCAUUCACGUAAAUGGAGAGGAAACGCUGUACUUGUUCUCUCUGAAUAUCGUGGAAUAUCUCGGCUGAAGAACGAUUCGCCUCGCGUGAUGAACCGAAAACGAUUAACUAACAUGAAACGACACGAAGAGGUUGCUCAAGGUUCUGGGAACGGGAAAGAAAACGACGUGGCUGGUGUUACGGAAGCUUAAUCGUUCAAGGACGAUCCUGGCCUUUCAACAUUUACGCUUAGUCGCGGUUUAAGGACAAAUCUAAGGUAUCGAGCAUCGACAACGUUUAACUCGGAUCGUGUUCAGGGAAAGAGAGUGGAAAGAAUGGAGAGAGGGGGGGAAGGCUGAUCGAGUCGCCUAUACUCUGUUGGCAUUCGAAACGCGUUACUUUCAUUUCUAACAAGUAGCCAUUCAAGGGCCACGCACUGAUUGUGAGACGUUGGUAGUCACACGUAGUCCAUGUGUGUACAGGAGAGAGAUAUGGUUGAUCGAUGGCUCUUUCCUUUCCCGAGAUCCCCAUCUCGAGGAUCCAACCGUGCAAAAAGGAAACCGGGAAAAGGAAAAAAAGAAAAACGAAACGAGAUCUCUUGACGCAUCGAUGUCACAUAUGCCCAGGAUAUCUGAUCUCUCAGGACGCAUUAAGGAAUUAGUCUCCGUCGAUAAAACAACGCGCAAAGGCAAACAACCCCCAAAGAGGCGCGCGAAGUGUGUAAAUAAGAAUUUCAAGUAGCGUGUUCCGUUUCGACGAUCGAAGCCUGUCCGAUUAUCAACCGGUAGUACGCGAAUGAAAUUAUAGCCCAUUAUCUGGAAUCGAUUUCUCGGCGAGCAAAGCCUCCCCCCACGGCCAUCGUGCACACGGUGUGUUGUACACGGGCGAAUCGAGCCGAGUUUCCCCACGACCAAUCCUGCGUUUUCUGUACCGCAGGUCGAUAGAUGAAAAACGCCACGACCGCCGCCCUAUGACUCACCCCUUGGGCUCGAUCUUUUUCAAAGAGGUGCACUUGCACACACCGGCCUGCCUAACCUUGCCAACCGCGGCACUAUUCAGGUCGGGUUAGGUCAUCCCCUGGAGAUAAAUACAGACUUUCCAUUAUAUGUGGAUGAAUCAGGUAUGAGUAGGCAGGUAUGUGGUGGGAAAAAGUGAGUCGAAAAAGGGGAAACUACUAUGUUUUUUUUGUUUUCCCUUCUUCGAGAGAACUUGACAAAAGUUUUGAAUUUGUGUAGAAUAAAUUAUAGUUUUAUUUUAGUAUUCAUAAUUUAUUUAUACUUGUUUCUAGAUUUUAGAAUUGAUUUUAUAUCAAUUCAUCGUGAUAAAGUUAUAUGUAAUAAAGAUAAAAUAUACGUUUUUUGCAAGAUAUUUUUGCAUGCAGACUCGGUCGGAUGUAUCACUUAUCCUGGGUCACCCUGUAUAUGUGACAGGUACCUUUGUGGGACUACCUGCCGCCGCUGCUACUUUCUUCUUACUUUUACCAGGCCUCGAGUUUCGGGCUUUCAAACUGGUCCACGACAUCCUCCAGCGAAUAUCGCGACCAAUAUUUAAUAUUCGUAUAUUUUUUUUCUUCUUCCUUCGAUAAAUCUUUUUAAAAAAAUCGU